GCAAGUCGAAGGAGAAGGAGAGUGCUUGCACUCUCUGGAGACUGGCGGACGGGUGAGUAACGCGUAGCUAACCUGCCUUUAGCUGGGGGAUAACACUGCGAAAGUGGUGCUAAUACCGCAUAAUGCAGCGGGGCCGCAUGGCCACAGUUGUUAAAGGUUUCGACCGGCUAAAGAUGGAGCUGCGUGCUAUUAGCUAGUUGGUAAGGUAACGGCUUACCAAGGCGAUGAUAGCUAGGGGGUCUGAGAGGAUGAUC
Molecule: ribosomal RNA, 254 nt
Filed under: uncultured bacterium
Lineage: Bacteria
Description: partial 16S ribosomal RNA
Rfam family: Bacterial small subunit ribosomal RNA
Source: RNAcentral